UCCUACGGGGGGCAGCAGUGGGGGAUAUUGCACAAUGGGGGAAACCCUGAUGCAGCGACGCCGCGUGAGCGAUGAAGUAUUUCGGUAUGUAAAGCUCUAUCCGCAGGGAAGAAAAUGACAGUACCUGACUAAGAAGCCCCGGCUAACUACGUGCCAGCAGCCGCGGUAAUACGUAGGGAGCGAGCGUUGUCCGGACUUACUGGGUGUAAAGGGUGCGUAGGCGGCCUUGCAAGUCAGGCGUGAAAACCAUGGGCACAACC
Molecule: ribosomal RNA, 260 nt
Filed under: uncultured bacterium
Lineage: Bacteria
Description: partial 16S ribosomal RNA
Rfam family: Bacterial small subunit ribosomal RNA
Source: RNAcentral